This 274-nucleotide ribosomal RNA is filed under the name uncultured bacterium. RNAcentral describes it as "partial 16S ribosomal RNA". It matches the Rfam family "Bacterial small subunit ribosomal RNA", at positions 523 to 796 of the family's 1533-position model. The record is from RNAcentral.
AUACGGAGGGUGCAAGCGUUAUCCGGAUUUAUUGGGUUUAAAGGGUGCGCAGGCGGCCUUAUAAGUCAGUGGUGAAAUCUCCCGGCUCAACCGGGAAACUGCCAUUGAUACUGUAAGGCUAGAAUACAGACGAGGUAGGCGGAAUGUAGCAUGUAGCGGUGAAAUGCUUAGAUAUGCUACAGAACACCGAUCGCGAAGGCAGCUUACCAGACUGUAAUUGACGCUAAGGCACGAAAGCGUGGGGAGCGAACAGGAUUAGAAACCCCAGUAGUCC